This 512-nucleotide ribosomal RNA is filed under the name uncultured bacterium. RNAcentral describes it as "bacterial SSU rRNA". It matches the Rfam family "Bacterial small subunit ribosomal RNA", at positions 17 to 518 of the family's 1533-position model. The record is from RNAcentral.
UUAUGGCUCAGGAUGAACGCUAGCUACAGGCUUAACACAUGCAAGUCGAGGGGCAGCAUUGGGAUAGCUUGCUAUUCAGAUGGCGACCGGCGCACGGGUGAGUAACGCGUAUCCAACCUUCCUGCCAGUAGGGAACAGCCCGGCGAAAGUCGGAUUAAUGCCCUAUGUUCUUCAAUGCGGACAUCUAAGUUGAAGGAAAGAUUCAUCGCUGGCAGAUGGGGAUGCGUCCGAUUAGCUUGCCGGCGGGGUAACGGCCCACCGGGGCGACGAUCGGUAGGGGUUCUGAGAGGAAGGUCCCCCACACUGGUACUGAGACACGGACCAGACUCCUACGGGAGGCAGCAGUGAGGAAUAUUGGUCAAUGGGCGUAAGCCUGAACCAGCCAAGUAGCGUGCAAGGAUGACGGCCCUACGGGUUGUAAACUGCCUUUAUGCGGGGAUAAAGUGCGGCACGUGUGCCGCUUUGCAGGUACCGCAUGAAUAAGGACCGGCUAAUUCCGUGCCAGCCGCUGC